Molecule: ribosomal RNA, 498 nt
Filed under: Crocidura foxi (Fox's shrew)
Lineage: Eukaryota; Metazoa; Chordata; Mammalia; Eulipotyphla; Soricidae
Description: partial 16S ribosomal RNA
Rfam family: Bacterial large subunit ribosomal RNA
Source: RNAcentral
ACUGCCUGCCCAGUGACAUUAGUUAAACGGCCGCGGUAUCCUGACCGUGCAAAGGUAGCAUAAUCAUUUGUUCCUUAAUUAGGGACUUGUAUGAAUGGCCCCACGAGGGUUUAACUGUCUCUUACUUUUAAUCAGUGAAAUUGACCUUCCCGUGAAGAGGCGGGAAUAUGACAAUAAGACGAGAAGACCCUAUGGAGCUUAAAUUAAUAUGCUCAACAAAAUUUAAAUUUAACCCAACAGGAAUAAUCACAAUUUAACUGAGCAACAAAUUUUGGUUGGGGUGACCUCGGAGUAUAACAAAACCUCCGAGUGAUUUUAACUAAGACACACUCGUCAAAGUUACAUAACUUAUUGAUCCAAUCAUAUUGAUCAACGAAACAAGUUACCCUAGGGAUAACAGCGCAAUCCUAUUCGAGAGUUCAUAUCGACAAUAGGGUUUACGACCUCGAUGUUGGAUCAGGACACCCAAAUGGUGCAGCAGCUAUUAAAGGUUCGUUU